This 159-nucleotide small RNA is filed under the name Panthera pardus (leopard). RNAcentral's name for it is "7SK RNA (ENSPPRG00000015596.1)". It matches the Rfam family "7SK RNA", at positions 156 to 331 of the family's 331-position model. Rfam says of the family: 7SK was discovered as an abundant small nuclear RNA in the mid-70s but a possible function has only recently been suggested. Two independent studies have found that 7SK RNA binds the CDK9/cyclin T complex (known as elongation factor P-TEFb). The record is from RNAcentral. Lineage: Eukaryota; Metazoa; Chordata; Mammalia; Carnivora; Felidae.
CCCCCCAUAGAGGAGGACCGUUCUUCUGUCAAGGGUAUAUGAGUAGCCGUGCUCCAUGCUGGCACCUCCAAACAAACUCUCAAGCUGUGAGUUUUGUGUGACACCUCGCAGGAUGGCUUGGAGGAUUUAAUGAAAUACAGAAUACGAAAACCGUACUUU